This is a long non-coding RNA of Oncorhynchus tshawytscha (Chinook salmon), 2061 nucleotides long. The record is from Ensembl. NCBI's taxonomy places the organism in Eukaryota, Metazoa, Chordata, Actinopteri, Salmoniformes, Salmonidae.
AGAGCCUAGUGGUUAGUAUGGGGCGGCAGGUAGCCUAGUGGUUAGAGCCUAGUGGGUAGAGCCUAGUGGUUAGUAUGGGGCGGCAGGUAGCCUAGUGGUUAGAGCCUAGUGGGUAGAGCCUAGUGGGUAGAACCUAGUGGUUAGUAUGGGGCGGCAGGUAGCCUAGUGGUUAGAGCCUAGUGGUUAGCAUGGUGCGGCAGGUAGCCUAGUGGUUAGAGCCUAGUGGUUAGUAUGGGGCGGCAGGUAGCCUAGUGGUUAGAGCCUAGUGGUUAGCAUGGUGCGGCAGGUAGCCUAGUGGUUAGAGCCUAGUGGUUAGAGCCUAGUGGUUAGUAUGGGGCGGCAGGUAGCCUAGUGGUUAGGGCCUAGUGGUUAGAGCCUAGUAGUUAGGGCCUAGUGGUUAGAGCCUAGUGGUUAGAGCCUAGUGGUUAGUAUGGGGCUGCAGGUAGCCUAGUGGUUAGAGCCUAGUGGUUAGUAUAGGGCGGCAGGUAGCCUAGUGGUUAGUAUAGGGCUGCAGGUAGCCUAGUGGUUAGUAUGGGGCGGCAGGUAGCCUAGUGGUUAGAGCCUAGUGGUUAGUAUAGGGCUGCAGGUAGCCUAGUGGUUAGAGUGUAGAGGCGGCAGGGUAUACUAGUGGUUAGAGCGUUUGGCCAGUAACUGAAAGGUUGCUGGAUCGAAACCCUGAGCUGACAAGGUAAAACAUCUGUCGUUUCUGCCCCUGAACAAGGCAGUUGUUGUUCAUAGGCUGUCAUUGUAAAUAAGUAUUGUUCUUAACUGACUUAGUUAAAUAAAAGGUUACAAUAGAAAAUCAUUUAAAUGAAAUGCCUGGGGUCUGUCUCUCCAGCUGCACUCAUCAGAGAGAGUCUGGGUCUGAGUAGCAGAACAGGAGUAGAGCCUACACUCAUCUCUCUCUCCCUCCUCCUACCUCAGAGCAUGUUAUGCACACCUGUUUGCCCUCUCUUCCUCUCUCAUAAACAUCCAGUAGAAUUCCCCUUGACUCUCUCAUAAAGUUCUGUAACGACCAUCUGAAGGAAUCCCAUGACAAGUGGCGAAUGCUGUCGGCCUAUUUUCCAGUCCUCUAUCGCUUUAGAACACGUUCUACUGUAGGACAGGCAACAUCAUGAAACACAACAUAGCAGAGGAAUGCCAGGGUUCCCACAGUGACCGUACGUACAUACCCCAACCAGAAGCCAUAGAUUACAGGCAACAUCAUGGAACACAACAUAGCAGAGGAAUGCCAGGGUUCCCACAGUGACUGUACGUACAUACCCCAACCAGAAGCCAUAGAUUACAGGCAACAUCCACACUGAGCUAAAGGGAAGAGCUGCCGCUUUCAAGGAGCGGGACUCUAACCCGGAAGCCUAUAAGAAAUCUGCUAUUCCCUCCAACGAACCACCAAACAGGCAAAGCGUCAAUACAGGACUAAGAUUGAAUCGUACUACACCGGCUCUGAUGCUUGUCGGAUGUGGCAGGGCUUGAAAACUAUUACAGACUACAAAGGGAAGCACAGCCGUGAGCUGCCCGGUGACACGAGCCUACCAGACGAGCUAAAUGACUUAUAUGCCUCCACAUUAUAGCCUCCACAUUGACUCUGUACCGUAACACCCUGUAUAUAGCCUUCACAUUGACUCUGUACCGGUACCCCCUGUAUAUAGCCUCCACAUUGACUCUGUACCGUAACACCCUGUAUAUAGCCUCCACAUUGACUCUGUACCGGUACCCCCUGUAUAUAGCCUCCACAUUGACUCUGUACCGUAACACCCUGUAUAUAGCCUCCACAUUGACUCUGUACCAUAACACCCUGUAUAUAGCCUCCACAUUGACUCUGUACCGGUACCCCCUGUAUAUAGCCUCCACAUUGACUCUGUACCGUAACACCCUGUAUAUAGCCUCCACAUUGACUCUGUAGCGGUACCCCCUGUAUAUAGUCUCCACAUUGACUCUGUACCGGUACCCCCUGUAUAUAGCCUCCACAUUGACUCUGUACCGGUACCCCCUGUAUAUAGCCUCCACAUUGACUCUGUACCGUAACACCCUGUAUAUAGCCUCCACAUUCACUCUGUACCG